RNAcentral lists this ribosomal RNA (322 nucleotides) under Salmonella enterica. RNAcentral describes it as "bacterial SSU rRNA". It matches the Rfam family "Bacterial small subunit ribosomal RNA", at positions 781 to 1102 of the family's 1533-position model. The record is from RNAcentral. RNAcentral also lists the same sequence under 2 other names. Lineage: Bacteria; Pseudomonadati; Pseudomonadota; Gammaproteobacteria; Enterobacterales; Enterobacteriaceae.
GAUACCCUGGUAGUCCACGCCGUAAACGAUGUCUACUUGGAGGUUGUGCCCUUGAGGCGUGGCUUCCGGAGCUAACGCGUUAAGUAGACCGCCUGGGGAGUACGGCCGCAAGGUUAAAACUCAAAUGAAUUGACGGGGGCCCGCACAAGCGGUGGAGCAUGUGGUUUAAUUCGAUGCAACGCGAAGAACCUUACCUGGUCUUGACAUCCACAGAAGAAUCCAGAGAUGGAUUUGUGCCUUCGGGAACUGUGAGACAGGUGCUGCAUGGCUGUCGUCAGCUCGUGUUGUGAAAUGUUGGGUUAAGUCCCGCAACGAGCGCAAC